GGCACGAGAGAGAGAGAGAGAGAGAACGAAGCUCUCGGACCCAAAGCAGGUCGCCAACCGACCCGAUGGUUGUUUCUCUGUCGUCCGGCCACCGAUCGACGACGUAGCGGCACCAAUAGCUUCCUCUCAUCAUCGCCGACACGAAGGUGGUGGUAGCUCAUUCAAUCGACGGCUGAGAGAGGAGAUUCAACUAGCGGUAGUUUUACUUUCUUGACGGGUUUUCUGUGAUUUCCGGCAACUCCGGCGGCUAUUCGAGCUGCAUGUGAUUUGAAAGCUGGAGGUGGGCGAGGACCUUGCAGUUGACUCUUUGUAGAAAAAUGGUCUGAGCACUGGGCUUGAUUGCCUUGGAGUAUACUUCGAUUUGAAAAUAGUCUUUGGCCAAGUGAUGACGGUGUUGGCAUCAACAUGCUUAAUUAAGAUGAAAGGGACUCCAGUUACCCGAGGGGCAGAAGGCUCGUGGUUUUGGGAGUUCGCGAGGAAAGCCACGGAUUCCAGUUAUCCGAUAAAAAUGUAACCGAUGUUAUGAGAUAGUGAUGGCUUGAGAGUGAGAGGAGCAUAGCGACUACCUUGGGUUCAAUCCCCUAAACCUCCGGAGGGGCCUCUAUGGACGGAAGAGUGUCUUACGUUCCUUGUGGAGUGGCACUGCUUCUAGGCGAUAAGGCAUUUGUGGACACUCGCUACACUUACCUGUUGUACACGCAUAUAGUGAGGAAAGUUGAUAGUGGGUCUAAAAAGGACCGGCCAUCAGUUUGUGGAUGCAGGUACUGUGCACUGGGACGGAUAGUGACGAGGAGUUGGAUGUGCAUAUUUAUGAUUGGUAACUUGGUUUCUAUGGCCUUUAUUUUUAUAUUUGAGUUUCAUGUACCAAAUUCUAUUUUGUUGGUUUUGUUCUGUUCUGUUCUGCUUCGUAAUUUUAUUCCUUAAGUUUAUUAAUUAUGUCAUUCCGUAAAUCAAGUUUUAGGAGAAGGGAAAAGCCCAAUCCUGUUAUGAGUUUGUUUUAUGAUACUCUAAUUGAUAAUUUGUAUUCCUUUGAGUUCAUGAUUUCAUAAUCAUUCCUUGUAUCAGUAUUUUGGUGAAUUAAAGUACUUUGAGAAAAAUUAAGUUUUACACCUCAAAAUGUUUUGACGCUUUUGUUGUGUUUUUCUUAAAUGUUUUCUUACAUUAAUUGCUUUGCGUUUUUUCUUUUGACACGCGGCAUUGUGACGUGCCUAAACUGAGGAGGUGCAGUUUAGGGCGUUAUAUUGGUGUCUUUUGGCGAUGUGAUCUUAUGGGUCACUGGCGUCGUUUUGAAGACCAGGACUUGUUCGUUGGUCGUGAAAUCAUGUGUUUUUGAAUUCCGGAAUGAUUUGUCAUCGUUUGCUUCAUAUCAUGUCUUGACAUCUGGAUCUGCUAUUACAUGCUUUGGGGAAUAUACUAUAUGAUUCGUACCGAGUGUUCAGGUUGCAACUUGGAGACAACCGUUUCCUUGGGCACUAUAUCGAGAUUUUGUGCUUGGGUUGUUAGGGAGGCAGUACCUGAUGGUGGAAGGCCAUGUACGACCGCCGGAAAGGUGGUGAUUGACAUUACGGCCGGCUUGGAUGGGUGUGAUGGGUUUGGGCUUUUGGGCAACGGGUUGUUUGGGUCCCUAGCUUAUGCAAAUUUGUAUGAAGUCUAGUGUGUUGGUCAAUUUCCUUGCCUUUAGGGUAAGCGUGAUUUGAACAUCCUUAUAAUCUUAAUUUGAAGCUGUUAACUGAUUUGAUGUGUGGACCGGUACACAAUUUAAAUCUUAAUUAAGCUUCUCAAAGCAGAUGUGGAGAAAAAGAGGCGUGUUGUAAGUUCCCUGUGUUUCCUUUUUGGUUGUCCAUAUUUUUGUACCGUAUUUUUUUUGGAGUUCGAGUAAUAAUGGUUUUUUGAGCUU
Molecule: RNA transcript, 1897 nt
Organism: Fragaria vesca subsp. vesca
Lineage: Eukaryota; Viridiplantae; Streptophyta; Magnoliopsida; Rosales; Rosaceae
Exons: 5
Source: RefSeq, a predicted model, not a curated record